UUCCAGACUCCUACGGGAGGCAGCAGUGGGGGAUAUUGCACAAUGGGGGAAACCCUGAUGCAGCGACGCCGCGUGGGCGAAGAAGUAUUUCGGUAUGUAAAGCCCUAUCAGCAGGGAAGAAGAAAUGACGGUACCUGAGUAAGAAGCACCGGCUAAAUACGUGCCAGCAGCCGCGGUAAUACGUAGGGGGCAAGCGUUAUCCGGAUUUACUGGGUGUAAAGGGAGCGUAGACGGCGAUGCAAGUCUGAAGUGAAAGGCGGGGGCCCAACCCCCGGACUGCUUUGGAAACUGUAUGGCUGGAGUGCAGGAGAGGUAAGUGGAAUUCCUAGUGUAGCGGUGAAAUGCGUAGAUAUUAGGAGGAACACCAGUGGCGAAGGCGGCUUACUGGACUGUAACUGACGUUGAGGCUCGAAAGCGUGGGGAGCAAACAGGAUUAGAUACCCGAGUA
RNAcentral lists this ribosomal RNA (448 nucleotides) under uncultured bacterium. RNAcentral describes it as "bacterial SSU rRNA". It matches the Rfam family "Bacterial small subunit ribosomal RNA", at positions 329 to 792 of the family's 1533-position model. The record is from RNAcentral.